Molecule: long non-coding RNA, 1022 nt
Organism: Thunnus maccoyii (southern bluefin tuna)
Lineage: Eukaryota; Metazoa; Chordata; Actinopteri; Scombriformes; Scombridae
Exons: 3
Source: RefSeq, a predicted model, not a curated record
UAUAGAUCAAAAACCUCCUUAUUUAUCUUAUACUGACUCCUCAGUUCAGGCAGUUUUAGCUCAUAUGUGUGAACAACCUGAUGUCAGUUUGGUGGGGAAGUAGAGGUAACGUUGCAAUCAGAGCGUCCAGAGCAGGUUAAAGCUCUGACUUUUGUCUUGAAGGCAACAUUUUUACAUAUGUGCAAGUUUUGGAACUUUGACCAUGUUUAACAUAGAUAUCCAACAUUAUAGCACUGUAAAAAUGACAGAAAAUCAAUUAAAAGCAUGAUAUGUGACAUUGCUGGUCCCUCCAUGAGGCGUCUGAGUCACAUUCAAGACAAAAUGUUGUGUGGAUGUAAAUCAGCAGGUUACUCUCAGACUCUUCCUAAUGCAACAUAUUUACUAGUUAGAGUUCUGCUGACUCACCAGAGGCCUCCAGCACCAUCUUUUCAGGAUCUUGUCAUAAUUAGCAGCCAGAUCACACCAGUAAUUCCCCGAGUCAUCAGUCGUGACUCUGGACAGAUGAAGUUUGAUUCGUCCUUCGUCUCUCAGAGCGUCUUCAUCACACUGCAGCCGUCCUGUAAACUGCUCAUCCUGAGACUCUGGGACCUCAGCACCGUUUAUCAUCUCAUACUAAAUCCUAACAGGCUUUAACUGGAAGAAACAAACCAGGUGAAAAGGUCAGAGGUCUGGUUGGAUAUGCAGGAAAAAGCAGCUUCAUGGACCCAGAAGAACAGAGUCUGAAGGCAAAGUAGAGUCCAGCACAGACAGCGAGUACAGCUGCUGCUGUCAGUCCAACGUAGAGGCCGAUCCUUCUCCAACUCUCUGGUUUUGAUCUCACAGUAGGUUUCAGAGUUUUGGGCUGAUCAACAGCUGAUGUAAAGGACAUGAAAGAAUAAUAAUUGUUCUUGUAUUUCACAAAAUUCUGUUAUUCCAAUGUUUAACUCUCCUACUUAUGAAAAUCUGGACCAUUUGGGCUUGAACCUGGUGAUGUUUGCGUCCACGAACAGUCUGUACAUCACUGAUAACAUGAAUUAAAAAGG